AGAAAGAAAGAAAGAAAGAAAAGAUGAAGAGUUAUUCCAACACGUGAUCUCCAUUGAAGAACCAUGCAAUCUCUCUGGGUUGGUAGGGGUCAGAGUUAGUGGCUCUCCCUGAUUUCGGUGAGAAAUCACUAUUCCUCCACCACAAGGGAAAAAAGGCAUCCUGACUGACACUUGACAUCUGUUUCCACAGCGAAAAAUGUAUCUAAGAGCAAUUCUGAUGGAAAUGCAGGCCAUGUUUCCUGGAGGGGCUUGUCCUAGGGGAUAGAGAGCAUUCUUUGAUGUCAGAGGAAAUGCAAGAUUCCCUGAGGCCUGAAGAAAGAAGAGGGAACCCAUGGUGUAUGCAAGUCCAAGUUGAAAACUGUAGUUCCAGGGCAAAUACUUCUGGAGGUAAA
Molecule: long non-coding RNA, 392 nt
Organism: Cebus imitator (Panamanian white-faced capuchin)
Lineage: Eukaryota; Metazoa; Chordata; Mammalia; Primates; Cebidae
Exons: 2
Source: RefSeq, a predicted model, not a curated record